This 227-nucleotide ribosomal RNA is filed under the name uncultured bacterium. Its description in RNAcentral is "partial 16S ribosomal RNA". It matches the Rfam family "Bacterial small subunit ribosomal RNA", at positions 63 to 289 of the family's 1533-position model. The record is from RNAcentral.
CGAACGCGAAAAAGGGGGAAACCCCUUGAGUAGAGUGGCGAACGAGUAACGCGUGAAGAACCUGCCUUCAACAGGGGGAUAACACUCCUAAGUGCUAAUACCGCAUGAGACCACGGAGCUGCAUGGCUCUGAGGUCGUGGCCUCUAUUUAUAAGCUACCGGUUGAAGAUGGCUUCGCGUCCCAUUAGCUAGGGUGUAAAAGACCACCAAGGCGACGAUGGGUAGCUG